This is a long non-coding RNA of Rhea pennata, 1859 nucleotides long. RefSeq lists it as uncharacterized. The record is from RefSeq and is a predicted model, not a curated record. NCBI's taxonomy places the organism in Eukaryota, Metazoa, Chordata, Aves, Rheiformes, Rheidae. The transcript is spliced from 3 exons.
CCUUCAAAGUGUACCUUAUUCUGCAUGCAGCAUCAAAGUUUGUAAUAAAUAACUCCCAUCUAUAAUAGCCAUAAAAUUAGUUAUUAUAGAAUAUGUUGAAAUUCAAAGGAAUCCAGUCCCCAUCUAAGUAACUUAUAUAAUACCUCCCAAACCACUUUGUUUAGAUCUUAAAACUUUAAAUGUGAGGUUUAGAGUUUUUGGCAGCAUCUGACCUUUAUAGUGGUUCAAAUACUCAGUAAGCGAAGGCAACAUUUGUCUGAAUUUACAAAUGUGUAUAUAAAGAUGACAUCAAUGUAUUUUUUUUUUUAUAUACAUUUUAUGAAUAACUUCAUGUUAAACGGAUCCUUCUGGAAGAUUCAGUAUAAUGAACUUUCUGUAUUCAGGAGUGUGAAGGGAGAAAGCUUUUUCUUUAUCUGAGAACUUCCAGCCACAGCUGAAGGAAGGCAGAGAGUACUUGCAGCUUUCUGUCUAUUUUUAGUUCCCCAACUUAGAAAAGGCAGUUUUGGUGGGGCUUUCUUGGUCUGAUCAAUCUUAUCUUCUUCCAUGGCUAAACAGAUUAGGGAGUAAGUCUUCUGCAUUCCCACAGAGUAAGUUGCACUCUUACUAUGCUGCAAAAAGAAAAAAUACAUACAUACGUACAUACAUACAUAUAUAUAUAUCAGUUACCUAAAAGGGAUCAAAAAUGCAACAACAGAAAGCAAAAGAAGAUUAUUAUAUGAGUAACUUUCCAGACAGACUACAGAAAACUUUUUGUGCUAGUUACACACUAAUUGAACACAAGGCCCUUCAGAGUACUGAGAUUUUGGUAUUUUGCCCAUGCAGAAUUAAGGGAUAUGAUAGGCAAACUGUAAAGGUAUUUGUGAAUUUAGACAUGUUGUUCCAGCUAGCUGUUCUAGAAGCUAGUCAGUGCUGUCAAGUAUACACAAUAACUUCUGCAAAGCUCAAGUAUGCAGACCUUGCCUGAAGGGGAGUCUUUGUUGUCUUCAGUGUCCAGAAAGUGUUUUGUUGAAUGCCCAGCAAGCAGGUUUCAUGUUAGUUGCAACGAUUACAAGAGCUACUGUAGGGCGUUCUGCAGGGAUACUUGGAAGGCAGGGCUUUCUCUGUCUUGUCUAAGCUAUGCACUGAAGCAAUUUGUUUAUAUUCUAACCUUUUGUGCCCAGAAAGGGCCUUUUGUGUCAGAAGGGUAGGAAUGCAAUUCCUGGUUUUCAGUAAUGCAAAUUAAUUUUUUUUUUUUUUAAGUCAGUAAGAGCCACGAUCACUUCUAAGGUGACACUGUUUAAGUGUAAGCUUGCAGGGUAUGCUAGAACCAUGAAGUACUGGAUUUAGCUGAACUACAGGUUCUCUCACACUACAGAUAAGUUUAAAUUAUGUAGAGUUUAACAUUUUUUAAUCUUUUGCUCACUUUUCCCUUAGACUAAAGCAGCUUAGUACAAUAAAGAGUCCAGCAAAAUAAUAAAUGUUACAUUAAUCUCUGAAUGCAGACUGCAAAAGUCAAGGAUGAUUAUGUUAAUGGUGAAUAGAAGAUGAGCACAUAGUCUUGGAUGCUGAUUAUUGUUUCAUUGCGACUUUUUCUAGGCUAAAAGGACUAAUGUUUUCACCCUCUGGGACAAGUUAGGGGAAAAUAAGAACAAACUGGAUCAAGACAGUAAGUCUGUACUGGCGAGCCUCCUUUAAGACUGAAUCCUAGCUCCCCUGCUUCACAGCGGAAGCGAAUGGCACACGGCGCUGUCCACCUCUGCUUGGCUGAGAACACGGACAGCGGGCCCUGUGGGUUACAUAGCAGCAGGCACAUGAUGGUUUAUUCUCAUUUAUGUUGCUAAGUACAUUGAGUGUCCCAAUGAAAGUUCGGUUCCAUCCUG